This 477-nucleotide ribosomal RNA is filed under the name uncultured bacterium. RNAcentral's name for it is "bacterial SSU rRNA". It matches the Rfam family "Bacterial small subunit ribosomal RNA", at positions 328 to 793 of the family's 1533-position model. The record is from RNAcentral.
UGACAGUACUCCUACGGGGAGGCAGCAGUGGGGGAAUAUUGCACAAUGGGCGCAAGCCUGAUGCAGCCAUGCCGCGUGUGUGAAGAAGGCCUUCGGGUUGUAAAGCACUUUCAGUCGUGAGGAAGGUGGUAGUGUUAAUAGCACUAUCAUUUGACGUUAGCGACAGAAGAAGCACCGGCUAACUCCGUGCCAGCAGCCGCGGUAAUACGGAGGGUGCGAGCGUUAAUCGGAAUUACUGGGCGUAAAGCGCAUGCAGGUGGUUUGUUAAGUCAGAUGUGAAAGCCCGGGGCGUCAACCUCGGAAUAGCAUUUGAAACUGGCAGACUAGAGUACUGUAGAGGGGGGUAGGAAUUUCAGGUGUAGCGGUGAAAUGCGUAGAGAUCUGAAGGAAUACCGGUGGCGAAGGCGGCCCCCUGGACAGAUACUGACACUCAGAUGCGAAAGCGUGGGGAGCAAACAGGAUUAGAUACCCUGGUAG